UGUGCACAAUUUUUAAUGUUUCUGAGAACUACCACACACACAUACUAAGCUAUAUACAUGCUGUGACUAUUUUUAUUUUUAAGAGGGGGUGGCAGUCAAGACAAUGUGGUUUCUUUUACAGGUAACACUACAAUUCAAUUUUAAUGUCUUUUUCCCUCUCAUGUCACCUUUAUUUUUUGGUUCUUUUGAAUAACAAGGAAAAAGAUAAAUCGAGAGUCAUAAAGAGUUCUUUGGGGUAAACUGAGGGGAUAUAACCACCUAAUUAUGAAUUUCCUGAAUGUGCAACUUGACCAGCAGCAACUGGACGUGAUUAGUAUGGUGGGCCUCACCUCCAGCUGUUCUACAAAAACAAGUCAGUGAAGGAUUUCCAAGGCACAUUUUCCUCUGGACUUGUUUUAAGUUUAACAAUGCAAACAGUGCGUGUUGCUCUUUUUUUUUUUUUUAAUAGGUGACAGAUUGUCAGAAAAGAAACAAGAGUUUUCUACAACAAAAAACUGGCUUAUGGAACAUAUACUUCUGCUUGAGUUGAAUGUGUUGGGCUGAGUGUAAGAAAAUGCAAGCUGCAAAUCUGUCUUACAUGUGGAACCAAAGCUGGAAAUGUGUGCUUUAGAGGCAACUGUAAAAUUGUAUUUCCUUCUGGCAUAUGGGCCAAUGAUUAUGUUGUGUGAGUAAUGCAUAGAUGUAAUCCAUGUGGUAAGCUUUGUGGAUGAAGAAAAUGUCAGUGUUAUUGGCUGAGGCUUGGCAAGCAUUAGCCAUGUGUUUAGAAAAAUUUACAUGGCCUGAAACAAUGCAAAAAAUGUACUGUCCUGUUUGUCAGCUUGUGAACAUAGCAAAAAACCACAGCACUCCCAUCAGCACAAACACUGAGGGAGAAAAUCUCUCUUGCUGUUUUCCAGUUUAUGUUUAUAGGAAAAGGAUGUUUGCCUUACAACAAGGGGAUUUAUGCUUAAUGGAUACUAACUUUUACCAAAUCACAAAAUCUAAAUAGGCAUUUGUAGAAUGAGAGAUCCAAAAACUCUGGCAAUAUGAUAUACUAAGGGGAAAAUCAGAAAUCUUUAUAGAUUUUACUAUUACUGUGUUCAGAUCAAUUUUUAAUUGCUUUUAGCUAUGGCUUCUUGAGCUUCAAAAUAAUUGUGGAAUGUCUUCACUAAGUACACAGUAGCAUAAAUUCUACAGGAUGUUGUACAGCUCUGUAGAGGGAAAAACCACCAUGAAGAUAAAUGACCUUGGAGGACCCCAUUAAUCUUUGUAAAUAGCAAGAUGUUAUUUAGCCAUCUAUUUUUUUCUUAAACCCAAAAGCAUUUAAAAAACAGAAUAUUUAAGUUAUAAAAGGCCUUAAAAGUGACCCAGAGCUGGCAGAGGAAGGGAGCCUUAACAAUUGGUGGGGGAAACUGGGAGUGAGGGUGGAUAGUACUCAAAAGGAUGCUGUCUUUGACUUUAAUUUCAAGGUAUUACACAAAUUGCCCUCAGAUGUUUCAAUCUCUUCUUUCACAGGGCUUCCUCUAAUGUUUUUUCAUCAGUCUUAUCUGCCAUAUCAAUAUAAUGGCUUUUAAAUUUUUGCAAAGGGAACUUCUGCAUCUACCUGUGAAGGAUAAACUGAUACAAGAAUCACUUGCCUACCAUAAACAACUAGAAAAUAAGGCAAAAUAUAUGAAAGGACAAUUUUCAGAUAUUAGAUAUAAGGCGAUGCAGAACUGAAUUCCUGAAUCUCUAUCAUUAUCCUAGAGUACUGCCUUGAGGAAAAUUCCAAGAAAUAGCCAAAAGAAAAUGAAGUCAGAGUCUUGUUCAGUUGAGGAAACAAAGAUCAGUAUGAGUAGGCCAAAGUAGCUAUAACUUAAGGGCAGAGUUCAAUAGAGAGAGAGCUAAGCAGCAGAAGGGGUCUAGAAAUCUGCAUGAGAGUCCCCUUGAAUUUUUUGUGACUAUCAAUUUCUGUAUGUGUAAUGUGAAACUCUUUGUUGGGCAAGAAAAUCUUCUGAGAAAAGACUAAUUACUGAGAAACUGUAAAAUGAACAAUUCCCAGAAAUCACACAGGAUCAAAAACCUUUGUGGAUGGAGUUUCCUUCAUUCAAAGUGAAAAAAUCUUGUUGAAUACUUAGCCAUUCAGUAGAGACUUGAAAAGUGUUAUGCCUUAGAAGUGGGACUAAAUUAGCUCUAGAAUUUACCAUUCUAAAACCUCCCUAAAAGAGUUUAGAAACAGGCCUCACAAGAGAUCAAAAGUAACCUUCAAAAGCUAACUGCUCACGAAAAAGUCUUAACACUCAUUAAAAGAGUACAACAAAAUCCAGCACUAAACAAUGUAAAACACACAAUCUUAAUCCAAUUUUUAAAAAUCAUCAGACAUGCAGAAAGUAGGAAAAUGUGACCCAUAACCGAGCAAAAAUUUAGUAAAUGGAACCCAAAAAUGACAGAGAUAAUGGAAUUAGCAGACAUGUAUUAUAGCUAUUAUAAGUAUGUGCUCACAAAGAUAUAGGAGAACAUAAAUAUAAGGAAGGAAGAAAAGAAAAAUAUUUUAAAAGUCUCAGCACUUCUGAAGAUGAAAAAUAUAAUAUUUUAAGUAAAAAUUUCACCUAAUAGGAUUAACAACAGAUUAGAUACUGCAGAAGAAAAAAUUAGUGAGCUUGGUGACUGCAACAGAAAUAAUACAACAUGAAGCAGAGAGAGAGAAAAAAACUUAAAAAAAAAAAAAUCCUUAGUGCCUUGUGGGACAAUAACAACCGGUCUAACGUAUGUAUAAUUUUGCCAGCCAAAACUUUUCCAAAGUUGAUGAAAACUAUAAAUCCACAGGUACGAGAAGGUCAAUGAACCAAAAGCAGAAUAAAUAUUUUAAAGAUGUACCAAAGAACAACAUAAUCCAAUUACAGAAAACCAGUGAUUUAAAAAGUUAAAGCAGACUGAGGAAAAAGGAUACAUGAGUAAGAAAGAUAACAAAUAAAAAAAUGUAAGCAGAUUUCUAGUCUUUGCAAGCCAUUAUGACAUCUUCCAAUGAUGAAGGAAUUAAAGUCAACUAAGAAUUCUAUAUAGAGCAUAAAUACCAUUUGAAAAUCAAGAUAAUAUAUGAACUUUUUUAGCAAAACAAAGGCUGAGCUAAUUGGUUGCCAGCAGACCUGAACUAUAAGAAAGAUGAAAAGAAGUUCUUUGGGCAAAGGGAAGAUGACAGAAAUUUGAAUCUACACAAAGAAAUGAAAAGUGCUGGAAACAGUAAAUGUGUAGAUAAUAUAACGGAUUUUCUCCUCAAUUUUUAUUUUAUUUAAAAGAUAAUUGAGUAUGUAAAGCAAAAAUGAUAAUGUGUGUAUAUCAAUUUGUUUAUAAUAUCUGUAGGAGUAAAUAUGUGUCAUCAAUAGCACAAAAGAAGGAAGGGAAAAAUGGAAGAUUAUAAGGUUUUUACUCUAUUUGUGAAGUGUUACACUACUAUUUCAAGAUACUAUAAGCUAAAGAUGCAUAUUGUAAAUCCUAGAGAAAUGCCAUUAAAAAAAAGAGAUACAGGUAAUAGGCCAAUAGUAGUGGUAAAACGACACUCUAAAAAAAGUAGUGAAUCCAAAAUAAUCCUGAAGAGGUGAAAAAAAGGAAGAGAGAACAAAUGAAACAAAUAGAAAACCAACAACAAAAUGGUAGAUUUAAACCGACUGUAUUGAUAAUUACAUUAAAAGUAAAUAGUCCAAAUGUGUCCGGAAUUG
This 3674-nucleotide long non-coding RNA is filed under the name Homo sapiens (human). RNAcentral's name for it is "long non-coding RNA NONHSAT194882.1". Lineage: Eukaryota; Metazoa; Chordata; Mammalia; Primates; Hominidae. The record is from RNAcentral.